Molecule: unclassified non-coding RNA, 605 nt
Filed under: Hevea brasiliensis (rubber tree)
Lineage: Eukaryota; Viridiplantae; Streptophyta; Magnoliopsida; Malpighiales; Euphorbiaceae
Source: RNAcentral
AUUAUGAAGUAGAUCGGGGAAGAAUUAUAAUAUUUCUUAGGACCAGCAUCAGUUAUGCUGUACUAGCAUUUUAUUGAAAGAUCCAAAUCCCCAAUAGACAUCGAGGUGUAGCAGAAUUUUCAAAUGAUAAAUUCAAUUGUUAUUACAUUCAGAUGGGGGAGAAAAGGAGGGAGGGGUAAAAAAGGGAGCUAAGUUCUCAAAUAAGAUUGUUGUAUUUGUCAAUGAAAUGCAAGUCUAUUACUACUCUUCAUCAAAAUCAGGAAAAAUAUCCACACAAAAGGUUAAGACAAAAAAAAUAACAGUUCUUUGAAUCAGACCAAACAAUUUGACUUUCUUCAAGGAACCAACAUUACAUAAUCUACAUAAACCAUCUUCAGCUAGCAUUUUGAAUUUUCCCAAAAUAAACCACAUAAUGAGUAAUAAUGUAAAACAGGUAAGUGAAAUGAAGUGCCAUAUACUAAGGAAAAGCAUUUUGAGAACUCCAAACUCUGGCUGAAUUAAACAUGUCCAACCAAUUUAGAUAGUUUAUCAGUUACAUUAGUUACAUUAGGGUUGAACGCAAAUUCUUGAGGUCAACAAUCCAUUAAACGGAGAAAAAAGCCAAA